This 449-nucleotide ribosomal RNA is filed under the name uncultured bacterium. Its description in RNAcentral is "bacterial SSU rRNA". It matches the Rfam family "Bacterial small subunit ribosomal RNA", at positions 56 to 501 of the family's 1533-position model. The record is from RNAcentral.
UGCAGUCGAGCGGCAGCGCGGGGCAACCUGGCGGCGAGCGGCGAACGGGUGAGUAAUGUAUCGGAACGUACCUCGUCGUGGGGGAUAACGCAGCGAAAGUUGUGCUAAUACCGCAUACGUCCUGAGGGAGAAAGCGGGGGACUCGUAAGGGCCUCGCGCGAUGAGAGCGGCCGAUAUCUGAUUAGCUAGUUGGUGGGGUAAAGGCUCACCAAGGCGACGAUCAGUAGCUGGUCUGAGAGGACGACCAGCCACACUGGGACUGAGACACGGCCCAGACUCCUACGGGAGGCAGCAGUGGGGAAUUUUGGACAAUGGGGGAAACCCUGAUCCAGCCAUUCCGCGUGAGUGAAGAAGGCCUUCGGGUUGUAAAGCUCUUUCGGUGGGAACGAAACGGUACAGGCGAAUACCCUGUGCUAAUGACGGUACCCAAAGAAGAAGCACCGGCUAAC